UGUGUGUUCGCUUGUUUUGUAUUGUUCUGUAGUUUCGACCCAAUGAUUCGUCUGACAAACAAAGAACUUUGCGUGCUACAGGCCCAGAUCAAAGCGGGCGAGACAUUCAAUGACGUCAUCUUCACAGACGAUUCAACCAUGGCCCUUGAGCAAUUUGCUCAAAACUGCUACAGAGAAAAAGGAAGAAGAUCAAGCAAACCAGGUCCUAAGCAUCCGCUCAAACUCCAUGUGUGGGGGGCAAUUUCUCACCAGGCCCAUAUUUGAUUUUUGAUGGCAUCAAGGCUCGAGAUUUCUUUGAGGAAGAAAUCAUCAAGAGAUAUGCUGGACCCAAUGUCAGAGGUGUUCCUGGGACCACAGCGUUUCUUUCAAGACAAUGACCCAAAACACACUGCCGCCCGGGUUUGCAUUGCAAAUGAGGACAUAAACCUGGUCAAGACGCCAGCAGAGUAAGUAGACCUUUAUGCAGUAAAAUAAAAAUAAAAAAGAAAGACCUAGAACACUCUACGGUAGACCUACAUUAUUUCUACA
Molecule: non-coding RNA, 528 nt
Organism: Salmo salar (Atlantic salmon)
Lineage: Eukaryota; Metazoa; Chordata; Actinopteri; Salmoniformes; Salmonidae
Source: RefSeq, a predicted model, not a curated record